CAGUGAAAAGCCAAAAAAAUCAGAGGCAUUUAACUGUUAAUUAAAUAAUUGUAUUUAAUAUACUUCACUGG
RNAcentral lists this transfer RNA (71 nucleotides) under Grimpoteuthis sp. RNAcentral's name for it is "tRNA-Asn". The record is from RNAcentral. Lineage: Eukaryota; Metazoa; Mollusca; Cephalopoda; Octopoda; Grimpoteuthidae.